This 203-nucleotide microRNA precursor is filed under the name Oryza brachyantha (malo sina). Its description in RNAcentral is "MIR812 microRNA precursor family". It matches the Rfam family "MIR812 microRNA precursor family". The record is from Rfam by way of RNAcentral. Lineage: Eukaryota; Viridiplantae; Streptophyta; Magnoliopsida; Poales; Poaceae.
AACAAAUCAAAUUUUAAGUUUUUAGAUACAAUGUUUGAUUGUUCGUCUUAUUAAAAAAAUUUACAAUUAAUAAUUUUAUUUUUAUUAAAUGAUAAAACAUAAAUAAUACUUUAUGUGUAACUAAUUUUUUAAAAAAAAUAAAAAAAUUUCAAAUAAGACUGAUGGUCAAAUGCUCGACGAAAAACCGAAAAGCUGGUUUCUUU